This 1215-nucleotide long non-coding RNA is filed under the name Neogobius melanostomus (round goby). RNAcentral describes it as "lncRNA (ENSNMLG00000026315.1)". The record is from RNAcentral. Lineage: Eukaryota; Metazoa; Chordata; Actinopteri; Gobiiformes; Gobiidae.
AUGCGACUGCAGGAGCUGACUACCAAGCCUAGUGGUGGUGGUGGAUCCCAGGGUGGUGGCCCCUUUUUGGCCCGCUUUCUGAUAACGUGUGCAAAAACAUCUACACACCAAGGAUGUUGGACAAGCUGGCAGUUUGUGACCCGGCGCACAAGACAAGAAAAGGAGAUUGUAAUGAAGGGAGUCAGAGAGUUUGAAGUUUAAUAAUAUGUUUGAAUAUGUUUAACAUGUUUGUGCUCUUAUUUACAGUGAAUAAUGAUAAGGGAGGUUCAGGACAUACACACACACGCUGCUCAAAACCUCAUUCUUGCUCUUUGCUCUUUUCAUAAGUGUUAACCCAAAUCACAGGCAUGUAUGAAAAGUCUCGAGGAGGGGCACCGUGACAAGGUGUCUUAUCAACGGUCAGUGGAGCUGGACCUUAUCAAUGAGGAGGUGCCACCUGCUCUAGGACAUCCUAACAAAACAUCACACGUGGAGAAUGGAGGAAGACCACAUGGAUCAUGAAUAUUAAUGAUUGUGUUUUAUGUGCUGGGUGCAGGGACAUGGGCAGAGCAGACCGCCUGUCGUAAGCCCCGCUUAGAUGUAGGCCGCAGGGAGAAUUAGAUAUGCACCCAGAGCUCUGUAUUAGAAUUGUAAACAACAGGGAAUAAAUCUUUCUUGAACUCAUUGAAUCUUGGUUUUCCUUCCAACAGACGAACAUGCCCAACAACAUCCUGUUUCUUUUGAGUUUCUAAAAAUCAGCCAUGUUUGAAAGCCACGUGAGUGCUAGCUUAAAGUUUUCAGAUGAAGUUGGUCUCAUAUGGUGGGGAAUUUUUGUUGUGUCUAUACAUUUUUAUACAUACAUUUUUGAAUAACCCAAAUGUAUUUUAUUAUAGAUCCUAAUAUUAUUUCCUCUAUAUUUGAUUACGUUAUAUUGUAAAUCGAUUUUUUUUUUUUUUUACCCAUUGUUGCUGAGAGGGGAGAGGCCUCUAGAUUCACUUCCUCAGGCUUUCCUCAACAACAGGUUAUUACAGUAGAAAAUAAGCAGACCCUCCAGCCAAUCAGAAGCAUGACGUUGUUUUGAAAUGAGGUGCCUAAAGCAUAAAAAACCGAUAAAUCUUUUGUUUUUAUCCUUGAAUGGCUGAACUUUGGUGUAAUCUAGAAAAUGUGUCUUAUUGUGAAUAUGUUUAACAUUUGUUUAUGUUUAUUAAACUGGACUCUGUUUGGACUGGCCCGAGC